GAUGAACGCUGGCGGCGUGCUUAACACAUGCAAGUCGAACGGGAAACCUUUUAUUGAAGCUUCGGCAGAUUUAGCUGGUUUCUAGUGGCGGACGGGUGAGUAACGCGUGGGUAACCUGCCUUAUACAGGGGGAUAACAACCAGAAAUGGUUGCUAAUACCGCAUAAGCGCACAGGACCGCAUGGUCCGGCGUGAAAAACUCCGGUGGUAUAAGAUGGACCCGCGUUGGAUUAGCUAGUUGGCAGGGUAACGGCCUACCAAGGCGACGAUCCAUAGCCGGCCGGGGAGGGGGAACGGCCACAUUGGAACUGAGACACGGCCCAGACUCCGACGGGGGGCAGCAGUGGGGAAUAUUGCACGAUGGGGGAAACCCUGAUGCAGCGACGCCGCGUGAAGGAAGAAGUAUCUCGGUAUGUAAACUUCUAUCAGCAGGGAAGAUAGUGACGGUACCUGACUAAGAAGCCCCGGCUAACUACGUG
Molecule: ribosomal RNA, 478 nt
Filed under: uncultured bacterium
Lineage: Bacteria
Description: partial 16S ribosomal RNA
Rfam family: Bacterial small subunit ribosomal RNA
Source: RNAcentral